UUAUAUUGUAGGCAGAGAAGAGUAAUUAGAAUUGAGCCCUAUGUGAGUAAUGUGUGUUGAUUACUGUUAGCUGACCAGUGAGAUGUGAAGGACAACCUAGAAGUUGGCAACUAUGAUUAAAACUGGACCUAUCAGGUGUACAGGCAUGUGAUUGCUGUAGAGGACCUUGUCAUUUAAAACUGGUUAUCUUCUGCAGAACACAGUUUCACACACACAUUCUAUCAUCUACUACUAAGGUAAAUAAAAUAAUUAUAUGAACAGUGAUAUCAGUUGACCACAGAUGUGCUACUUAAUACUUCAGUUCUAAAUGAAUGUAUUUUCUAUUGUGGAUUAAGCCAAUUCAUAGCUUAAGGCAAAUUUUUAUUAAUAAA
RNAcentral lists this long non-coding RNA (371 nucleotides) under Anser brachyrhynchus (Pink-footed goose). Its description in RNAcentral is "lncRNA (ENSABRG00000014432.1)". Lineage: Eukaryota; Metazoa; Chordata; Aves; Anseriformes; Anatidae. The record is from RNAcentral.